RNAcentral lists this long non-coding RNA (11763 nucleotides) under Homo sapiens (human). Its description in RNAcentral is "non-protein coding lnc-AGRP-1:8". Lineage: Eukaryota; Metazoa; Chordata; Mammalia; Primates; Hominidae. The record is from RNAcentral.
AGAACCGCCUUCACCUAGCCCUAGAGCAUCAGGUACUAAGUUAGUGUGAGGACAUUUUAAAGCGGGAGGGAAACUCAAGGGACUUAGCCCAUACUCCCAAAUUCAGAAAUUUGUCACGUCACUUGAGAUCAGAAUGAAAUUUAAGUUUCAGUCCCUUUGAGAUCUCUGAGCGCACAAAGUCAGGCUGCUAUCACUCGGCUGGGGAGUCCGAACCCGGCUGGAUAAAAACUACUUGGUGCGGAACUCGCAUCUUUUCCGCCCACCGUGGGGGGGCCGCACCGGUCGGGUCCGGCCAGGAACCCGGGCGCGAGUUUGGGGGCGCAGCGGGGGCGGCGAGCGCGCGUCCCCCCGCCCGCUCAGGCAGCGUAGAGGUGCGAGCAGCUCAGCCAGCCUUGCAGAGGGAGCUCUCGGCAGCUCUGGGGUCCCUCUGCUCGCAGCCGCUGCAGCGCCGCCUGCGCCACUCGGCGGAGACGGAGACCAGCGGCGGCGACGCGCGGACUGGGAGCGACCGCCGAGCAGCCAAGCAGCUGGGAAGGCACGCAGGCCGGCAGGCUUGGAAUACAUGAGGAAGAAGAGUGGGAGACAGGAGGAAAGGUAAGGUUGGGAGAGGGCAAGAGGAAAGGAGGAGAGUAGAGGGAACACUCCAUCGAUUGCCAGCACAAUAAACUGUAUCAUGGACUACUUCAGCCUGGCCCCUGCUUUGCAGUGUGCGUGGAGCAGUUUCCUCUGGGCAGAGUCUCAGAGAUGAUGGCCAAGGCGACUGUGGCCUCAAUGGACUUAACUGAUAGGGCACUUCUCAGUGUGUCACAGGCCUUGGAGGCCCACUUCCAUCUGUCCCCUCAGAGGCUGGGCAGACGCUUUCCCUGCCCUGAUACCUUUGACUCAUGAUGGUAUCGUCAACUGCCCAUCACCUGAGGCAAGGGGCUCCCAACUGUCCUCAGUCCCAAACAGCAGGAACACCUGCCUCCCUGACCCACAUGACAGCAGGGUAGGGGGUGGGAGAAUGCUAUGGGCAGGUUUGCCCUGUGGGAGGCCCCUGUGAGGCAGAGGGGGUCAGGAGAGAUACAGAGGUGGGAGGACAAGGGUUCUCUCUGCCCCUCCACCAUCUCAGGAACCUGGGCAUGGGCCUGGGUGUAGGAGGCCAUCCAGCCUGCCUUCAAGCCACUGAUGGAGAGAGGCUGACUGGCUGUCCUGGGGUUGAUUCAUGCUGCUCUGAGCCAGAUAGGCAUCAUGUGCUUCACCUGGCUGUGCUCACAGUGCCCUCAUUCCAGCUCCUGUCCCCUUCCGAUCCUCACACCCACCCCUGGCUAGAGCUGAAUACUAGGCUCUGGCCUCAGGACUCUGCAGAGCACAGAGUCUAGGGUCUGUCCCUUCCCAGCAUUGGAGAGCAGGGAUUCUUAGUGACAACGCCAGUGGACCCCUUGGCUGGGAUGAUGACAUUUUUCCAUCCUCCAUUUCUUGCCCAAGCCCUGCUCUCUCCUGUGUACUGAGCUGUGAGCUCAUGCAGGCUCAGUCACCCCCAUCUGCACUUUCCCAGGACCUGGUCAACCAGUGUUCACUUCCUCUUCCCCCACCAUGACAGGCUAUGCUUUUGAUGCAGGUGGAUAGCCCUGCUCUACCAAUGGGCCUCUUGUGGGGGCCUCAGGACUGAGGGCUGCUAGGGGCGGUUCUGGGAUUGCCGGCCUCCUCCAGGGACCCCUGGGGCAGGCCCCAGCUGUGGCCAGCCUUGGGUGCUGGCCUGGUCUCCAUCAUUUGUUUGCCUCCUCUGCCCCAUGCUGCUCCAGCUCACCACCCCAAAUACUGAGCUGCACCAUCCCGUGCCACCCUUCGUUACCCAGAGAGCAAAGAGCCGCGCCAGUGUGCAGAGGGCUGCCUGCCUGCCCCUGCCCACCCUCGCCCCAGCGUCUGGAAUGAGCCACUUGCAUCCACACAGGUGCUUCCUGUGCUUCUUCCUGUUGCCGUUUUUUCUGCUCAGCUUGGCUUCCCCAGCAGGUGGUUAAAGCCCCAGCCAAACCUCUUCAUACCUAGCUCUAAAACACUGGGGGGCAGGGCUCCCUGGGGAUCUGGGUCACCCUCCAGAGGACUGUUGGCACUUCACUGGCUCUUCCUGAGGGCAGGCUCCCCAACGUGACACGUCCUGCACAGGCCAAGCUGCUGCCACAGGUACUGGGACAUCAGAGUGGCCUCAAUGAGUCAGGGAAGUGCUGCGUAUGCACCACCUCCUUGCCCCUGGAUACUGGAAGUGCUGAGGGAGAGGGGAAGGGUGGAGAGCCUGUUUCUCUAGCCACGGGUGUGGGCCUCCCUCAGCCCCUCCUUAGAACAGGCCUGCCAUCCUGAAGUCCCACCCCACACUCCAGUUCCUCACGCAGGACUCAGCCUUCUGGGGUUAACACAUUCACUGGCCAGGCAGCUCUGGGGCAAGGCGAGGCGGGGCAAAGGCAAGCCCUCUCCUGGGAUCUCUGCUUCCUGAAGCAGCACAGGUUGGCCGGCUGUUGGGGAUCACAGAGUUCAGGCACGUUUGUUAUUAUAGAGGGGGAGACAGCUGGAGAGGGAAGGGACUUGCUGUCUUGGGUCACAGGUUAGCCAUCCAGGUCUCCUGCCUCCCAGGUCCCAGCUCUUCCCCUCCGCAAGGAGCUCCUCUCCCCUGCCAUCCAGCUUCAAGGAGCUCCUUCAGCCCCCUCUGCAGAAAGCUGCCCAGGCUGCAGAAGACCCAAACCUGGCAUCUGCUGACGCGGAUCUGCUGCCCCCUGGUGGGCAGAAGCUCCAGCCACCCCGUGCCUCCUUUCCCUUCCUGUUUUUCCUUUCCCUUCCCCUUUGCUCCCAGGCCACAGCCUGGGAUUGGCACCCUUUGGUGUUUUCUGGGCCAACUCCAGUUUAGCUCCACCUUGGGCCGUAGUUCCCAGGCCCAGGGUAGGCCCCACCUGCAGGCUGAACCACCCUUUUCCCCUGCUCUCUUCUCCAAGCCCAGUUCCAGCCUCUGGGCUUUCUUCCACCUGAAUUUCCAGGGCAAGUGCACAUGGCACUGUCACAGCUGCAGUGUGAACACACCAGUGUCAGGCAGGGCCACAGCCAGAGGGUGUUGGAGCAGAGGGUCAGGAGUGUACCAGGCCAUGUAGGAAAGACAUUUUGCUUUUUUAUUUUCUGUAAAACUCUGUAAAUAAAAUACAAAACCAAGGGAUGUGGCUGGGCAGCGGCAGGGUGGCCAAGCCCCAGACACUGAUUUGUGGCAAGGGAUGUGCUGAGCCGAGGCUGGGAGGCACUUGACUGCAGGCACUGACUCUCCAACCCCAGGGGCAACAGAAGAAUAUAUUAGAUUUUCAUUGCUAGGAAUCUGUGGGGGAGGGGUAUCUGGAGCCAGCCCUUACCCUCCCUGCCAGUGCCUGGUGAGCCCUGAAAGUGGGGGGAAAGGGGCACCAGGAACCCAUGGGUGAAUAGUUUAGAAUGCUGUGCUGGCCAUGCUGCCAGGCCCAAAGAUGCGGGGCAGGGCGUCCAGGGACUCCUCCAGCCGUCGAUGGGCAGACUGUCCCUCUUCUCCUGUAAUGAGUGAGGAUGAGGUCAAGGGUGGCCCUAGCCCCAUCCCACUCUCCCACCCCUGGCGCCAUCUCUCCUACUCCCAUCAGCCAAGAUGUCCCAGAACUCCACCCAUCUCUUCCAUCCCCCAGCCUCACCACACUGCUGUAGGCUUUGCCGGGCAGCUUCCCUCACAGCUUCUGUGUCAGUUUGGCAGAGGUACACCAGGGGCUCAAUGCCCUCGGGAGCCUGUCAGGGGAGGGAGCAUUGAGGUGGGCUCAGGGGAGCAGAUGGGAGGGUUUCAGGGGUGGGGGUGCCGGAAGCGGACAGAGGGGUGGGAGGGUUGGCAGGGGUCACCUUGAUGCAGCCUAGGGCCAGGCAGCCAGCCACUCGAGUCUGCACGUCCUCAUCCUCCAGCUGGUCCAGGAAGCACAGGAGGGCCUGUGGAAGGGUGGGAGGACAGACUUAGCCAGACAGUGGGAGUCCAGGACCCCAGCCCUCGCCCUCAAGGGAGCCCUGUCCAACUCACCCUCUCCCGGAAGGUAGGGCCCAGUGACAGGCUCCGGAGCUGGGUGCUGACAGCAGCCAUGACCUUGUUGUUGCCAUGGACGAGCAGGGAGCUGAGGGCCCGCAGCCCGUCCCUUCGCAGACGCCCCUCGGGCGCCAAUCUCAGGGCCUUCAGCACAACAGCCUGAUCAUCCGAGUUCAGAUUCCGCACCAGUAGCACUGAAAAAAGGGGAUAUGGUGGGUGGGUGGGCAAGGUGGCAGGGUGAGGAGCCCCCGAGGUUGGGGAGGGCUUGUCCUCAUGUCCUCAGACCCCAAGAGGCCACUAUGUGAUCAGGGCCACCGCCUCACCCUCCUCAGCGGUCUCAGUCACGUAGGCCUCCAUGGUGGGGCUGUCCAAGGUUUCCACAAAACUCCAGAACUGGAAGACUGUGAGCUGCUCUCCAGGCCCUGGCUGGGGCCUUCUGGGCAGCUUCUGCCCCAGGGCAUCCUCCAGGAACUUCACACACACUGCAGGAGGCAGUAGCAUGGGCCUCAGAGUUUGGGUGAACACAGCUUUUAGAGGGGAGAGAUGCUCCUAUCCCAGGCUCAGGUCCAGGGGCCCCCUGUUCAAACCCCACCCAUCUGGGUCCUUCUGCUCUAAGGCCCAAGUCUUUGCUGGUCUCCUCGGUGCCCAGUUCGUUUAUCUGUGUGGGCUGACCUGGCUUCCCCGAGCUUCCUGUCACUGGGAAUCUGAGCAAGGGUGGAAGGAGGAAGCAGCCCACUCACCAGCCUCAGCCAAGCCUGGCUGGCGCAGGGAGAGGCGGGCACCAUACUGGUUGCAGAAGGUGAGAAGCACCCGCUCCACCGGGCAGAGGAAGCAGCUGAGUCUCUCUGUGCACUGGUCCCAGAAGGUCAGGAAGCCAGGCCGAGAGGCCGAGAACUGCACCACUGUGAGGGGGUGAGGGAAACCGUCAGCAACAGGCAGGCAGGUGAGUAGAGAGCAUGCAGAUGGCAGUAGGCUGAGGUAGGAGCUUCAAGGCAGAUGGCAGAGCCCGAACCCCCAGGGCCUUUACCUUCCUGGGCAGAGCUGGCCGGGAUCUCCCACCGCCUGCUGAACUCGCAUACUGCCUCCAGUACUCGGGCUUCCCGCAGCAGCCGCUCCAGGGCCCAUGCCUCCUGGCAGCGCAGGGGCCCAAAUGUGCCCAGUUUCUGGAGAACAUGGGUGGCCAAGUAGCUCAGGCCUCAGGGUAGGGCUCGGGAGGAUCGUGCUCAGGGACAAGUCCCAGCAUGCACUGGGGGAGGUUGGGGUUGCAGAGUUGGGAGAUACUCCAUUCAGCAAGGGCCAGAUGCCAAGGGCCCUGGGGCACUGGGGUGUGGCACUCAGAGGAGGUAUAGAGGACCAGGAUGGAAGGGCAGGACUCCCUGGGGUUAGGGGUUACAAAGGAAGGGUGGGGGAACACCAUCAGCCUCACCAGCAGGAGGCGACUGCAGUGGUACAGGUGCCGGACCAAGGCAGCAUCCAGAGCUGGACACCCCGUGCUGAGGGGGCGGGCACUGGGUGAGUCUAUGCUGUCCUCAGCCCCAGCCUCCGGGCUGCUUGGAGGCCUGAGGGAAAAAUGGGGUCCACCACCCCACAGGCACACAUCACCACCUGGUCACCAGCGUUUAUUUUUAUUAAGCUUCCCCCAUGCCAGAAAGGAAGAAGAUGAUGCACCGACAGCAGACAGUGGGGUAAGUUCAUGGAGGAUUUCCAGAAGGAGGAAGGGGCUGGGACCAGCAGGUGGUAGUAGGGAUCUCUGGAGUCAGUCUGCGCCAUGCUACCUCCAGCUGGGACCACUGGGGAUGGCAUGGGUAGGAGUAGGCUGCAGGCGGGAUGGUUUAUGACAAGUGGACUGCAAAGGGUGCAGGGCAUGGGGCUGUAGCCUGGGCAGCAGCAGAGGAAGGAGGGACCUGGCACAACUCUCAACUGGGAACCAGCAAAGGCCACUCCAGGACUGACAGUUGAGGGGCCAGGGCCUCUGGGAGAGUCGGGGUUGAGAAGGAGUGGGGCAGUGCUGGGGUCCCAGGGUGCACGGCGAGACACUGAGAGAGCUCCUUAAAGGGCAGGUCCAAGGUGAGGCCAAGGGGAAGAGGAGGGGCUGGAGGCACCCAAGCUGAUGGGGACCGGCAGGGGAGGCAGACAUUGCAGAGAUGAAGAGGGCGGUCAGAAGCACUGGGGACACACGUAGGGUUGGAGACAUGGGCAUGAAGGACAUGGGAGGGGUGGACACAGGUGCACCUGCCAGCAACUCAGUCCUCACAUGCUCCACCUGGCCCUGCCUCACCUGUCCUGUCCUUUGACUUUCUCCCAAUUCACCUGUUCCACCUUCCCCUGGUCCUGCCUCACCUUUUCCCUCUCACCUAGCCUCACACCCAUCUUGCCUAGCCCCCUCACCUGUCCCCAGGAACAUCAUUGUCUUCAUCUUCGUCUUCAUUGAGGAAGCUGAAGCUCUCCAAGGCAUGCUCCACAGUGAUGCUGAGACUGGAGGCCCGGCUGCGAGUCAGACCUUGUCUCUGCUGAGGUUGUGAAGGGCAUCAGAGCGGCUGCCGCCCCCUGGCUGCCCUCCCUGGUUGCCCUAGCCCAGCCCAGCCCUCCUCACCAUGAGCAGACUUUCUAGGCGGGUCACCUCCUGCUCCAGGCCCUGCAGCUCAGGAAACUGGCCACGGUAGUCAUCCAGGGCAGCCAUUAGGGCCCCCAGUGCCUCCUCCAGGCUCCUGUCCCCAGACCCUCCGGCUGCCGUUGGGACUGGGGUCUGGACAGCCAUGGCCAGGCAAAGGUCUGAAUGCUGGGGUGCAGGGGUUGGGGGUGAGGGAGUGGGGCUUAGACUCUGAACCGUAGACUCUGAGGGAUCUGGGGCAGGGCUUGUGAGGGGUUUCCUACUGGAAUGGGCAGGACUUGGGUGGGGAGUUCUGGGGGCCAUAGGGUCUGCCUGAGUGUAGGAAUUGGAGACUGGGGGACUACAGGGAAGGGAGUCAGUGCCUGGGAGGGUGGGGUCUGAGUGUUUGGAGGGGCUGGAGAGGGUAGCAAGUUCUAGAGAAGUGGAAGGGCUUACAUUUAUAAGGAUGGGGCUUGUGGUGGGAUGGGUGGGGCUUGUGGUAGGAUGGGUGGGACUUGUGGCAGUCUGGACUAGGCCCAUACCACUGGGGGUAGGACUUGUAGUGGUGGGAGGUGACAUACUGGUUUUGUGGGUGGGACUUGUGGGGGUAUGGGUGGGGCUUGUGGAAGUAUGAGUGGGGCUUGCUGUGGUAUGGGUAGGGCUUGGCAUAGUGUGGGUGGGGCUUGUGGUAGUCUGGACUGGGCCUAUGAUAUUGAGGGUAGGGCCUGUAGUAGUAAGGGUAGAGAUUAUGGGCUUGUGGGUGGAGCCUGUAGUAGUGUGAGUGAGGGGGCUUGGAGCACUGUGGGUAGUGGUAAUGGCACUAUAGGUAGAGCCUGUAGUGGUGUGAGUGGGGCCUGGCAGUUCUGAAGGGCCAGAGUCUGUGGACUUAUGAACUGAGUCUAGGUGUGCAGAUGGGGCAGGGUCUGUAGAUGUGGGGACAGAGCCUGUUGUACCGAGGGUAGAGCUUGUGGCAGAGUGGCCAGGGUCCAGGGCAGGAGGAACAGGACUGGGGUGCUCUCCAUGGGUGGGAGCUGGGUGUGUAGGUGGGCUAGGUCCCCAGGCUAGGCUUUCUGGGCCAACGGCCUCCACUGAAGCCUCAGCCAAGGCAGCAUCUACACUAGCCUCACUGAUGUGGCUCAGAGUCCGACUGUAGGGUGCAUGCCCAUUUGCCAGGACUGGGGCCACGGCCCCCUCCUCAUCCAAGGGCCCAGAGCUGGGGGUCUCAGGCCUGCGGAAGGCAACUUGGAUGGGAAGGGGCUCGGGCUGCUGCACCAGGGGCCUAGGGGCUGGUGAGUGGCGGGCAGUGCCUGAGAGCUGUGGGCUGGAUGAGUCGUCUGAAGAUUCAGAUGACAGGGACCAUGCUGUCCCAUUCUCCAGCUCCUCCUGCCGUCGCAGCAUGUUCUGAGAAAGAGGAGAGGGCAUUUCAGAACCACCCCCAGGGAGCCUCUGGGGGAUGGUGAGGCCUGGACCUGGGCUAUGACUCACAUAGAAAGCCUGUUCCCGAAGUGAGGGUGUGUCCGGUGGGCUCUGGCUAUAGGUGGAGAAGCGCUUGGUGACUGUGGAGGCCUUGUUGACAGAAGAAGCAGCUGAGGGCUGGUCAUCCUUGUCGAAGGGGCUGGGAAGGGAAGAGGCUGUUGGCAGGUGCCACAGCCCUCCUGGCCCUCCUCCAAGCCUCUCAGCCCCACCAACCUCCAUGUGACUUCCAGGCUGAGCUUGAUGGUACCAAGGUCAUUGAUAUCCACAGCCACAACCUGGGGCAGGGCGGCAAACAGGUCCUUGGUCUCACAGGAGACACUGCCCACAACCACAUGGUUGGCCAGGCCCUUCAGUUCUGUCACCUGUAGCCAAGAGUGCAUGGUAGGGUCACAAGGGUGCAGGGGCUAUGAGAUCAUGGGAAAUCUGAGGUCUGAAUUUGCAUAGAACUUAUAAAAUGGUCAUGGGAGGCUGAGGCAGGAGGAUCACUUAAGGCCAGGAGUUCAAGACCAGCUUGGGCAACAUGGCAAGACUCUGUCUCAAAAAAAAAAAAAAAAAAAAUUUUUAGCCAGGCAUGGUGGUGCACCUGUAGUCCCAGCUACUUGGGAGGCUGAAGUGGGAGGAUGGGUUGAGCCCAGGAGUUUGAGACUGCAGUGAGGUAUGAUUGCACUGCUGCACUCCAACCUGGGUGACAGAGUGAGACCCGCCAACUCCUAGAUAGAUAGACAGACACAUGCAUGCUCAUGGAGCCAUGGAUGCUUGAAGCAGCCUGGGAGCAUGGGAAUCACAGAGGUCUGCAUGGUAGGGUCACUGAGGUCAUAGAGGUCACAGCCUCAUGGGAGCUUAGGAGGUCAAAUAUUCACAGGGUCAGAAGAUCAUGAGGAGGUCACAGGGUCAGGAAGCCAUGAUGUCCUAAGAGUCACAAAGAUUGUUCCUCUCAGGGCCACAGAGAUCAUGAAGGUCAUGGAAUCAUAUCUUCACAGGGCUAUGGAGCUAUGAGGGGAUCACAGGAGUAAGGGACUCAGGGUAAUGGGGGUCACAAGGGGUUCACAGGGCCAUGGUGGCCUGCCGUCCUGGGCAGAGACAUCACCUUAAUAGACAGAAAUUCCGUGAGUAGAGGGAGAAAGAUGGUUUCUUCACUGUCCCACACCUGCUUUCCACUACCCUCAAUUCGGCCCCGUAGUUUCCAGCGCUGACGCCCAUAUUUCAUGCAGAUCUGGGGGAACAGGUAGGAUGAGGCAGCCUAGGUGUUGGGACCCUACCGACCCAGCCCUUCCCUGCACAUUCUCAUACCUCAUACUGAUCGCCUACACACAGCCUGGCGAAGCCAGCCAGCCCUGAGUUGGAGGAGAAGGGGAGAAGUCGGUGAGCCAUAUUGGGGUUCUUCAGCAUACUCCCUCCAGCCCCCCACCUGCCCCCACAACUCAGUACCUUUCAUUCGGAGAUGAAACUCGCCCAGCUGUGCCUCCAGCUCGCUCUCCAGCAGACACAUGCUCUGGGAGGGAGGGGCAGGGACAGGAGGGGGUCAAGGGCCAGCCACUAGCCCUGCCACACCCUGUGCCUCUGCCUCAUGGGCCCCCAUCCCUCACCUCCGUGUACUCGCGAUGCCCCCGAGUGGCCUCUGCCAGGCUGUCCCGGGCCUCUCGGCUUCCCGGGGACCCAGUGGUGUAGGCACGGACCAUGUUGUAGGCACCAUCCCGGAGACGCCGCUGGACACAGUAUGCCUCAUACAGCUCAUCGAUCUGGGAAGGUGAGUGGGGUGACAGUAGGGGGACUGAGACUCACCUCUGGGGUUACUCACCUCUAAGGUUGCUCACCCAGGGCCUGGCACCACCCCUCUUCUCCCUAUGAUAUCCAACCCCCCACCCCACUCUGCACACAUGCUGCACUCGUACCUUGCUGGCAUGGAACUCCAGUCGUCGCAGGAAGCGUUCAAUGGACUUGACUUGCUGGGGGAGAGGUGGGUCAGGAGGGGCCUGAGGCCCAGGGUCCUUACCCUCCCUGUGAGCCAACCCCUUCCAGUACCAUUCCAUGCAUACUCACCUUGUCCAGAUCAUACAGGAAGCCCUGCAGGGGUGGGGAGAAGGGGCAAAUAUUUAGGAGGGAUGAGGAGGACUCCAGCAGAGGCACUCAGACUCGUCACAGCUCCCCUUUCUCACACCACAGUCCACAAGCACUCCUGUCACAGUAGCAACUGACGCCCCUUCCUGCUGGUCUAGCCCUUGGUGGAUGCUGGUAGCACAGAUCUGGUCCCUUCAGCCCCCUCCAGGACCCCUCCUUCCACCUCUUCCCUGGGAUUCCUUUUCCUGCAGCCGCCUGGGGAGAGCUCUCUGCUUCCUUGUGCAAGGUUCCCUCUGCAGGGGAACUCCCAUCAAGCCCCGGCAGAAGUGUUCCCUCCUCCAGGAAGCCCUAACCUCUUCCCAAGAAGCACCAUGCAGCAGUACCACUGCUCAGUACCACUGCAGCAGAAUCUCCUGCUGUCCAUGUCUGUAGGGGUCCCACCUACCCCACUGGAAGCUCCUGGAGCAGGUACUGAGUCCCAAGCAGAAAGUAUGCACAGCAAAGUUUGGGGAUAGAAAAGCCCCUCAGCCUUUCCUGAUAUCCCCUUUUCUACUCACACCUGAACCAGAUCACUUCAGAAAAUAGCCCAGAUAUCACCCAGGGCUGCCCUUGCCCAGCCCUCCACACCAAAGAGGCAAAGGGCAUCCGUACCUCCCGCCACUCACCAAGCGGGAAUUCCUCUUGGACUCCCUUAUCUGCCCCUGGAGUUUCUCUUGCUCCUGCUGGUGCACUUCCAAGUAGGCCCUGAGGAAAGGGGCGACCACAAGAAUGAACUCGGCUCUCCAGCCUCAUGCUGCCCAGGGUGCAGACAGCAGGGAGAGGGCAUGGGGCUGGAGAAGGUUCCUGCUAGCAGGAUGCGGGCUUGGGGAGGGAUCCCGGGACAGGGCUGGGAACAGAGGAGCUGCUCACGUCAGGCCCCGCUUCAGCGCCGUGUACACCAGGUCCAGCCGCUCGGGCUGCGGCACCUUGGCGGCUGGGUGAGCCACGGAAAACAUCCUGGACACUCGGGAGAGCGCGGGGGGCUUCCGUGGGGGCCCCGGCGGGCUGAAGACCGGGAAACUCCUGAAGGAGAGGCUGUCCUCAGAAAGAGGAGAGCAGGAGUCCCCCAGACUCUCACUACGCACCCCCAGACCCAGCCCCAUCUGACGCCCUUUGACCCCACCAACCCUGCGCGGCCGCGUACCUGGGCCCCCGCUCGUGGCUGCCGAGGACGCCUGCGAAGGACUGGCUCCUAUUGACCCGGGCGCUGAGCAGACGGCGCUGCGGCCGCACCGACAGGGACAUCAUAGAGUGAGUCCGCGCGGGGCUCCCUGCGGGUGAUCGGGGGGGUGUCCAGUACCAGUCGGAUCCCCGAAGCCCUCUCCCACGCAGCGGGAUCCAGGGCUGGCGCAGGUCUUUCCUGUCGCUAGGCACAGCUGCCCCAGCGGGCUCCGGCCGGGUCCGCCUAGUCCCGCCGACCCGGGCACUAAUGACAGGACAGCCGCAGGCGACUCGGCCUCGGACUCAGCGUGGCCUCGGCUCGGCCCCCACUUCCUGCCGAGGUGCGGGCUCCGCCUGCCGCGGGGCAGGAAGGGGGGUCGCGCGGGGACCCUCCUCC